This 208-nucleotide ribosomal RNA is filed under the name uncultured bacterium. Its description in RNAcentral is "partial 16S ribosomal RNA". It matches the Rfam family "Bacterial small subunit ribosomal RNA", at positions 568 to 774 of the family's 1533-position model. The record is from RNAcentral.
CGCGCAGGCGGUCGAUCAAGUCGCGUGUGAAAGCCCCCGGCUCAACUGGGGAGGGUCACGCGAUACUGAUCGACUCGAAGGCAGGAGAGGGUAGUGGAAUUCCCGGUGUAGUGGUGAAAUGCGUAGAUAUCGGGAGGAACACCAGUGGCGAAGGCGACUACCUGGCCUGUUUCUUGACGCUGAGGCGCGAAAGCUAGGGGAGCAAACG